Molecule: ribosomal RNA, 205 nt
Filed under: uncultured bacterium
Lineage: Bacteria
Description: partial 16S ribosomal RNA
Rfam family: Bacterial small subunit ribosomal RNA
Source: RNAcentral
CGCGUAGGCGGCCGAUCAAGUCGGAGGUGAAAUCCCUCGGCUCAACUGAGAAUUGCCUUCGAUACUGUUCGGCUUGAGUCCUGGAGAGGGUAGCGGAAUUCCCGGUGUAGCGGUGAAAUGCGUGAGACCGGGAAGAACACCAGUGGCGAAGGCGGCUACCUGGACAGGUACUGACGCUGAAGCGCGAAAGCUAGGGGAGCAAACA